ACGGACGAACGCUGGCGGCAUGCCUAACACAUGCAAGUCGAACGGAACUUGUUGAAUGAAGUUUCGGAUGGAUUUUAAUAAGUUUAGUGGCGGACGGGUGAGUAACGCGUGAGCAACCUGCCUUUCAGAGGGGACAACAGUUGGAAACGACUGCUAAUACCGCAUAACGUAUCGAAGAGGCAUCUCUUUGAUACCAAAGAUUAUAUCGCUGAGAGAUGGCCUCGCGUCUGAUUAGCUAGUAGGCGGGGUAACGGCCCACCAAGGCGACGAUCAGUAGCCGGCCUGAGAGGGUGAACGGCCACAUUGGGACUGAGACACGGCCCAAACUCCUACGGGAGGCAGCAGUGGGGAAUAUUGCACAAUGGGGGAAACCCUGAUGCAGCGACGCCGCGUGAGCGAAGAAGUAUUUCGGUAUGUAAAGCUCUAUCAGCAGGGAAGAAAAUGACGGUACCUGACUAAGAAGCCCCGGCUAACUACGUG
This 480-nucleotide ribosomal RNA is filed under the name uncultured bacterium. Its description in RNAcentral is "bacterial SSU rRNA". It matches the Rfam family "Bacterial small subunit ribosomal RNA", at positions 27 to 507 of the family's 1533-position model. The record is from RNAcentral.